Molecule: ribosomal RNA, 243 nt
Filed under: uncultured bacterium
Lineage: Bacteria
Description: partial 16S ribosomal RNA
Rfam family: Bacterial small subunit ribosomal RNA
Source: RNAcentral
GAUGAACGCUGGCGGCGUGCUUAACACAUGCAAGUCGAACGAAGCGCUUGAAUGAAAUUCUUCGGAAGGAAGCUCAAGUGACUGAGUGGCGGACGGGUGAGUAACGCGUGGGUAACCUGCCUCAUACAGGGGGAUAACAGUUAGAAAUGACUGCUAAUACCGCAUAAGCACACGUGAUCGCAUGAUCGAGUGUAGAAAAACUCCGGUGUAUGAGAUGGACCCGCGUCUGAUUAGCUAGUUGGU